This 497-nucleotide ribosomal RNA is filed under the name uncultured bacterium. Its description in RNAcentral is "partial 16S ribosomal RNA". It matches the Rfam family "Bacterial small subunit ribosomal RNA", at positions 28 to 507 of the family's 1533-position model. The record is from RNAcentral.
GAUGAACGCUGGCGGCGUGCCUAAUACAUGCAAGUCGAGCGAACAGACGAGGAGCUUGCUCCUCUUACGUUAGCGGCGGACGGGUGAGUAACACGUGGAUAACCUACCUAUAAGACUGGGAUAACUUCGGGAAACCGGAGCUAAUACCGGAUAAUAUAUUGAACCGCAUGGUUCAAUAGUGAAAUGCGGUUUUUCUGUCACUUAUAGAUGGAUCCGCGCCGCAUUAGCUAGUUGUUAAGGUAACGGCUUACCAAGGCAACGAUGCGUAGCCGACCUGAGAGGGUGAUCGGACAAACUGGAACUGAGACACGGUACAGACGCCUACGGGAGGCAGCAGUAGGGAAUAUGCCGCAAAGGGCGAAAGCAUGACGGAGCAACGCCGCGUGAGUGAUGAAGGUCUUCGGAUCGUAAAACUCUGUUAUUAGGGAAGAAAAAAUGUGUAAGUAAAUAUGCACGUAUUGACGGUACCGAAUCAGAAAGCCACGGCUAACUACGUG